GAGAUAUUCCACUUGUUACGUUUGAAAUUUAACACCCUGUAUAUAUAUAUAUACAUUUUGGAAUUACAAGUUGUAUUAUUAAUGGUAAUAUUAUAAGGAGUAUAUAUUUGUAAUACAUAAAGGUAUAUAUUAUAAAUAUAUCUAUAAUCUGACAUUACUGUAGGGUACCUUAUAUGUAAUACGUAUUGAAAAUAUUUCAACAUUUCAAAAUUUCUUUGUUUUUUUAUUAUAUAUUGCGACGACCGUCGCUGUGCCUACGGGCCGCCGUGCGCGUAGGCGCGGCGUCGCAAAUCAGAGGUACACGCGAAACCUACGGAAACGAUAAUUAUUCCCGAACAACGGGAUCGUGACGACUCAGAUUUUCCUCGGCAAGUCCUCUCGACCCUCUUUCGCUCGGAAUUCUUUCUCUCUCGAUAUUCUUUCUGUCUCGAUAACUCUCUCUCUCUCUCAACCGCGGAUCUGAGUCUCGGUGUCACGAUCACCGAUACGGCAAACGAUAAAUUGGGCGCCAGGCGCAAUCACUUGCGCCGCUUAUGAAAUCAGCACGCAAAACUAGAUAGCUCGACUAGUCAGCCGUCGUGAGUAGAGUAUUAGAAGGCCGCUGGAAGGAAGGCAGUAAGACACAACGCAAUGGUAUAAAAUAAUAAAUCAUAUGUAUUUCGAGAACUUCCGGGGGUACAGGGAUUCGUCACCCCGAAUCACAUGGACGCCAACAAACGCCAACUCGAGUAACACAAUGACGCAUACGCGAUGCGGUCGUCACCGCACCCUUUCGAAUAGAGGAUACGCGAGUCAGUCUUUUCUUCGCGGGGACUCUCUCGGCACCCGUUCUCGAGAUCCUCCCCGGUGAUUUCCGCGAGGUGCCGCGGUCCGGUUAAGAAACGGCCGUUAUUCUCUCGGCGCGAAAUCCUCUUCCUUCUCACGAUCUCGCCUCAAUCCCGGCUCUGUCUCUCACAGGCGUUACUCGGAAAGUCUCGACCGUAUUCCACUCGGCAGUCGAUACCCCGCUACUAGACUACUCGGCAGCAACGCAGAUCCGUACAUAAACGUAAGAUGCGUGACGAUACUAGGACUCAACAACGUAAUACUCGAAAUCACGGACUUCUCGAUUCCCCGCUCGGCAGUGUACCAUGUACGGCUUGGCAACGCAGUUACGACAAUACAACUACGGCACUAUCACGCGACACACGAUUCCCCGAUUAACAGCUCGGUAACGCAUAUUAAUACAAAGACGACAAUAUGACGCGACAAUUGACUGGAGUUUGCUUUCGAGGUGGAAGUUCUACCCUCCUUAUGCGCGACACCGGGGCGGACGGGCCUCGCCUCUUUUCUUGUUCUCCUCGGCACUACACGAUAGUCGGUUCCCCUUAGGUACGGGGCGAGACAAUUAUUGCGGCGACUGAGCUCAAGGCGCCGUCGUAGCCGGUAUAAUUACAAAGAAUCGCAGAGUGCAAGCUUACAUAAACCUCAUCCUCUGCGUCGUCGCUCGCGGCUCUCUUGCUCUCUGUUUCGGGGCCCUCGUCCAGAUCGCUCCUCCAGCUUCGCCACACUCCAAGUGACGAGUCGCGGGGCGCGUCGCGAGGUCCUUUAACCGUUCGCGCAUCGAUCCGCGCAUCGAUCCACCACCGACUUAUCGCCGAGCCGCCGCAGCCCCUAUCGCCGCUAUCUUUCGCACAGCGGGUGGCCGUUCCUCAGGCACUUCCGUGGAUCGUUUUAGGUUGCUGGCCGCGCCGACCUUCCCCGGUCUCUACUUUUCCUCGCCGAGCUGGCCAGGCCCAAACGAGGGGACUCGAGGUUGUCGCCGAGGGGUUGCGCACCCCCUCCCAGGCGGUCGAGCUUGCUGUGCUCCUUUCCUCGGGUCGGCACGGAAUUCCUUGCUGACGAUCCGCGCCCGCAGCUCCGUUCCUUGCUGCUCGGCAUCUUAAUUCGGCGGUCGGCAGGAUCAUUUCCUUACCCGGCUCGGAACCUCCAACGCUCCCGCGACCCCCAGGCUUCCCUUCUUCGGUCUUUCUCUUCCGCCGGGUUCUUGCUCCGUUGUUGGCUGUCUCGAGGUGUGAGAUACAGUUCUUCCGGAUUGGCUUACACUCUGCGAAAUUCUGAACACUAUUAAUUACGCGCUCACACGCCGCUCGGUAAAGUAUCGCUCCCCCUCAAAUGCGAAAGGAACGAUCCCGACGGAAUAUUUGUGCUUCCCCAAUCCUACCGCCCCUUGUGACGGACGUCUCGAAACGUCACGUCACAAUAUAUUUGAAAAAGGGGUGCAAAAUGUUAAUCCAGGCGAAACGCGAACUAUUUUCGGCACUGUACACACCAUCCGUUAACAUACAAGAAGUUCAUUUGUUUUCCGCCGAUAUCGGCAGGCCUCCUUGUUCUACUCGCGCCAGUCGCAAUUGUGCUACGACCGGACGACCAUGCUGCGGCGAACAUAUAGAAAAGGUAAGAAUUAUAUGUGUGUGUAUGUUGAUAUAUACACACCCAUGAUAUAUAUACACACAUAUAUAUAUAUAUAUAUUAAUAUAUUAUAAUAUUUUUGUUAUUACAGCAAAAAGCGAAGGCGCAACGCAUCCGGAAACGACGACGGCGAUAAUACCACCGCCACCACCAUCGCAACCACCACCGCUGACGGAGCAACAAACAACGACGACGGCGAUGGUACCAUCGCCACCACCGUCGCAAUCACCACCGUCAACGGGGUAACAUACAACGACGACGACGGUGACGAUACCACCGCCGACGAGGCAACAAACAACGGAUCAUCCACCGUCACGGGAUGCAGGAAAAGAAAGAGGAAGAGGGGCGCCCGUAUCGCAUAAACAAGUGAAAAAUAUCAUUCGUCGGGCGCUGCAAGUGGAGAGGAGGAGAAUGGGGUAUACACUACCCCCACCACCGCCGCCUCCCACACCGUAUGCACCGUACGCGCCGCCGCCGCCCACACCGUAUGCACCGUACGCACCGCCGCCGCCCACACCGUAUGCACCGUACCCAUAUCCAUACAGAUAUUAAAAAUUGUCUUUAAAAAUAUGCCUUCUCCAUUCCAUUCUAUAUAAUAAAUAUCAUAUAAAAAAUA
Ooceraea biroi (clonal raider ant) is the source of this 3067-nucleotide long non-coding RNA. RefSeq lists it as uncharacterized. The record is from RefSeq and is a predicted model, not a curated record. Lineage: Eukaryota; Metazoa; Arthropoda; Insecta; Hymenoptera; Formicidae.